UUUCCUCCCGAGUGCUUGCACUCAAUUGGAAAGAGGAGUGGCGGACGGGUGAGUAACACGUGGGUAACCUACCCAUCAGAGGGGGAUAACACUUGGAAACAGGUGCUAAUACCGCAUAACAGUUUAUGCCGCAUGGCAUAAGAGUGAAAGGCGCUUUCGGGUGUCGCUGAUGGAUGGACCCGCGGUGCAUUAGCUAGUUGGUGAGGUAACGGCUCACCAAGGCCACGAUGCAUAGCCGACCUGAGAGGGUGAUCGGCCACACUGGGACUGAGACACGGCCCAGACUCCUACGGGAGGCAGCAGUAGGGAAUCUUCGGCAAUGGACGAAAGUCUGACCGAGCAACGCCGCGUGAGUGAAGAAGGUUUUCGGAUCGUAAAACUCUGUUGUUAGAGAAGAACAAGGACGUUAGUAACUGAACGUCCCCUGACGGUAUCUAACCAGAAAGCCACGGCUAACUACGUGCCAGCAGCCGCGGUAAUACGUAGGUGGCAAGCGUUGUCCGGAUUUAUUGGGCGUAAAGCGAGCGCAGGCGGUUUCUUAAGUCUGAUGUGAAAGCCCCCGGCUCAACCGGGGAGGGUCAUUGGAAACUGGGAGACUUGAGUGCAGAAGAGGAGAGUGGAAUUCCAUGUGUAGCGGUGAAAUGCG
This 646-nucleotide ribosomal RNA is filed under the name uncultured bacterium. RNAcentral's name for it is "bacterial SSU rRNA". It matches the Rfam family "Bacterial small subunit ribosomal RNA", at positions 67 to 690 of the family's 1533-position model. The record is from RNAcentral.